UACGUAGGGGGCGAGCGUUGUCCGGAUUUAUUGGGCGUAAAGAGCUCGUAGGCGGCUCGGUAAGUCGGAUGUGAAACCUCCAGGCUCAACCUGGAGACGCCAUCUGAUACUGCCGUGGCUUGAGUCCGGUAGAGGAGCAGGGAAUUCCUGGUGUAGCGGUGAAAUGCGCAGAUAUCAGGAGGAACACCAGCGGCGAAGGCGCUGCUCUGGGCCGGUACUGACGCUGAGGAGCGAAAGCGUGGGGAGCAAACAGG
RNAcentral lists this ribosomal RNA (254 nucleotides) under uncultured bacterium. RNAcentral's name for it is "partial 16S ribosomal RNA". It matches the Rfam family "Bacterial small subunit ribosomal RNA", at positions 524 to 776 of the family's 1533-position model. The record is from RNAcentral.